UACGGAGGGGGCUAGCGUUGUUCGGAAUUACUGGGCGUAAAGCGUACGUAGGCGGCUUUUUAAGUCAGAGGUGAAAUCCCGGUGCUCAACACCGGAACUGCCUUUGAGACUGGAUCGCUUGAUCACGGGAGAGGUUAGUGGAAUUCCGAGUGUAGAGGUGAAAUUCGUAGAUAUUCGGAAGAACACCGGUGGCGAAGGCGGCUAACUGGACCGUUGAUGACGCUGAGGUACGAAAGCGUGGGGAGCAAACAGG
Molecule: ribosomal RNA, 253 nt
Filed under: uncultured bacterium
Lineage: Bacteria
Description: partial 16S ribosomal RNA
Rfam family: Bacterial small subunit ribosomal RNA
Source: RNAcentral